GACGAACGCUGGCGGCGUGCUUAACACAUGCAAGUCGAACGGAAAGGCCCUGCUUUUGUGGGGUGCUCGAGUGGCGAACGGGUGAGUAACACGUGAGUAACCUGCCCUUGACUUUGGGAUAACUUCAGGAAACUGGGGCUAAUACCGGAUAGGAGCUCCUGCUGCAUGGUGGGGGUUGGAAAGUUUCGGCGGUUGGGGAUGGACUCGCGGCUUAUCAGCUUGUUGGUGGGGUAGUGGCUUGCCAAGGCUUUGACGAGUAGCCGGCCUGAGAGGGUGACCGGCCACAUUGGGACUGAGAUACGGCCCAGACUCCUACGGGAGGCAGCAGUGGGGAAUAUUGCACAAUGGGCGGAAGCCUGAUGCAGCAACGCCGCGUGCGGGAUGACGGCCUUCGGGUUGUAAACCGCUUUCGCCUGUGACGAAGCGUGAGUGACGGUAAUGGGUAAAGAAGCACCGGCUAACUACGUG
RNAcentral lists this ribosomal RNA (468 nucleotides) under uncultured bacterium. RNAcentral describes it as "partial 16S ribosomal RNA". It matches the Rfam family "Bacterial small subunit ribosomal RNA", at positions 28 to 507 of the family's 1533-position model. The record is from RNAcentral.